UUGUAGAACGAGUAAAGGAUAAAAAUCGUAAGGUUUUUCGCGCGCAAUACGAGCGAAGACACGUGAUGUCGGUGACAGAGGAGGAAGAGAAGGAGGAGAAAGAGGGGAAGGAGGUAGGUGGUAAUGGUGCGAUGGUGCGAUGGUGCGGUGGUGAGGUGGGUGACGAAAAAGGCAAGUAAAUGUGCCGGAUACUCUCAUCCAUACGUGUUGGUCGACAUUCAACAAGUGACUGACACUGAUGUCGCCCGAACGAUAUCCUACGUCCUUUGCCCUGCAAGGGUGAAAGUGGGAUGCAGCGAGGGGUAGCAUUAUUGCCGGCACCGGCCGAGCCGAGUAUCGGAAAGCUCCUGGGGCGGAACUUUCCUUUACCCUUCGCAAAAUGUUCCGAAGGCCGAAAAUAUUGAAGGAAGGGAAGAAACGAACCUCCUCGUUCGUACGAAAAGAAAAUGGGUUCUCUCUCUUAUGAGAGAGCAAAAAAGAUAGAGAACAUUCCCCGUGUGAAGGCAUAAGCGCGUAAAUAUCAACGCGGACGAAGAGUCACGGAACGCAGGAAUGGAAAGAAGGAAUGAACGGACCGGUCUUACUGUCUGUUCUUUCUCUCUCUCACUUCUUCUCUCUCAUCUCUAUAUGAUCUUGCCUUGCGUUCUUGAAGGAAAAGAAAAAGACGGAGUCGAAGAAAUCUAACGCAACGGAGCUAAGAGCAAGCAAGUAAGCAAGCAAGCAAGCAAGCAAGCAAGAAAGAAAGAAAGAAAGAAAGAAGGUAAGAAAGAAAGAUAGGAGAGGGCCGAGGAGGGGCCGUCAUAAUUCCUUGAAUUGAACGGCGGUUUAUUCUCCACCAAGGUUACCAACAAGGAGGAUGGACAGAGGCAGGCGAACAGGCAGGCAAGCAGCAGGCAGGCAGGCAGGCAGGCAAGAGAGUUGGCAGGCACAGGUAGGAAAGCAAGCAAGUAAGCAGGCAAGCAAGCUGGCUGGUUGGCUGGCUGGCUGUGGCUGAUGGAGAGGCGCCGACGAGGAGAAGAGAGAGAAAAAGAGAUGAAAGAGAAGGAGGAGGAUGAAGGCUGGACGAGAGGGGGAGAAAGGCGAGGGGAUCGAUAGAACGACAAGGACGGCGUACGGGUAUAUAGUUAUACAGAUAGCAUGCUACGGCAGCAUCGGCUGUCGUCGAAUGACGGCAAGGAGGAAAGAAGGGUAGGAAGAGGGUGAAAGGAGAGGAGAGAGGGGAGCCUGGGAGCGUUUCGAGGCGUCCCUGGAUGGCGGCACCACCGUCGACCUUAACGUAUAGAUACAUGCGAUGAAACUAGCGCCGUUGGUGUGGGUGUUAAGAUUACUGGUGGUAGUAGGUAAUAGUGGUAGUGUAGAGUAGCGGGAUGGCGUGGUCUAGUAGUGGUAGUAUAUGUAGUAUCAUCGGGGCACAGCGGCAGCAAUACUGCUUGGGUGGGGAUAACGUCAGACUGACGGACUCGUGGGAAAGAGAGAGGAGAGGAAACGAGGAAACGAGCAAGCGAGACAGCCAGAAUAGAGAGAGAGAAAGACAGAGAGAACGCGCGCGCACGAGGCUCGACAAGGAAGGAGAUUGGUCGAGGCGGUGGCGACGAUGCGACUGCCGUAGAGGUGGGAGAAGGCUGGCGCGAUCGGAUCGCGCAUAUUUUCAGAACAACAUGGAGGAGCCUGAAAUUGACGAUCUCUAAAACGGUCAGUGCUUUGAAAUAAAAAAGAAAAAAGAAAAAUAAAGGGAGUUUCCAUGGUAUACAUGCAUAUAUACAUACAUACGGGCAAAACGAAUCCCUUCGAGUUCGAACAGCGUUUGAAUUUACCGCUGAUUGCCGUAAAGAGAGAGAAACAGAGAGAGAGAGAGA
This 1856-nucleotide long non-coding RNA is filed under the name Polistes fuscatus (common paper wasp). RNAcentral describes it as "uncharacterized LOC122524565, transcript variant X1". The record is from RNAcentral. Lineage: Eukaryota; Metazoa; Arthropoda; Insecta; Hymenoptera; Vespidae.